This 16-nucleotide small RNA is filed under the name Arabidopsis thaliana (thale cress). Its description in RNAcentral is "ATSL108900". The record is from RNAcentral. Lineage: Eukaryota; Viridiplantae; Streptophyta; Magnoliopsida; Brassicales; Brassicaceae.
GUUUGUUCUUAAUGUU